GGCUGCAGGGAUUGGUGGAGCGCUCGCAUCACUUCCGUGUCUUCACUUCCACCUGCACUUUACCUGCUACGACAAGGCAAAGUGUCUGCCGUGAAAAGGAUCCGUGCGCGAGCCUCACCUGGGAACAGUAACAAGCGUGUUGUGAUGUCGGCGGGGCUAUUAAGAUUCAGGAGAGAAGGAUUUAUUCAGGAGGCGAAAAGACAAGCGAAGUACAAGACGGACAAUCGUUUGACAGGGAGGAAAACAAAGGCAGCUCAUCACACAACAUGUCAGACUGACCCACACGCCUCACUUACUGUAGGCUUCCUCACUGAAAACGCUUCUGCCAAAGAAAUAGUCCCUGCGAAAACAGCAGGAAUCAUAAAUAUCGUUGCCUGCAGCUACUCAUCUGAGAACAGAGCAGAGAAAAUGAAGGAAUCAACUCCAAAGUGGAGGAGGAUGAUGUAGCAUCGGCGGCUUGUUUGCAGACUGUCAAACAAUGAGUUCAGCAACCGAGGGUGUCACAGUCAGGUCGAGAGACAUUUUAAUCAAAUGUUGUCUCACACACACACACACACACACACACACUGAUACUGAGUCAAACAUUUGGCUAGCAGGCAUGCACCACUAAUGGCUGAGCAGAAUUUGUAAUGUCAUCCAAAUACACUGUGGGCCAAAUGUGGUCGUGCAGCGCCCUCUUCAGGACGAACAGGAGAGCUUAACAGCAGUGAUGCACUGAUCCUCAUCUCAUCAAUAUUAUCUGUUGGCUCUGAAGUAAAAGUGCCACUAGAGGUUAACACGACUGUGUAGAUUAACAGUACUAUUAUACCUUCAUGUAUGUUUAUACGUAUAGAUAUGAUGCAGAGCCC
This is a long non-coding RNA of Scatophagus argus, 848 nucleotides long. RefSeq lists it as uncharacterized. Lineage: Eukaryota; Metazoa; Chordata; Actinopteri; Scatophagidae. The record is from RefSeq and is a predicted model, not a curated record. The transcript is spliced from 3 exons.